AGAGUUCGAUUAUGGCUCAGGAUGAACGCUGGCGGCGUGCUUAACACAUGCAAGUCGAACGAAGCGCUUAAGAUUGAUUCUUCGGAUGACGUCUUUUGUGACUUAGUGGCGGACGGGUGAGUAGCGCGUGGGUAACCUGCCUCACACAGGGGGAUAACAGUUAGAAAUGACUGCUAAUACCGCAUAACCCGAUAGGAUCGCAUGAUCCAGACGGAAAAGAUUUAUCGGUGUGAGAUGGACCCGCGUCUGAUUAGCUAGUUGGUGAGGUAACGGCCCACCAAGGCGACGAUCAGUAGGGGUUCUGAGAGGAAGGUCCCCCACAUUGGAACUGAGACACGGUCCAA
This 344-nucleotide ribosomal RNA is filed under the name uncultured bacterium. RNAcentral describes it as "bacterial SSU rRNA". It matches the Rfam family "Bacterial small subunit ribosomal RNA", at positions 8 to 334 of the family's 1533-position model. The record is from RNAcentral.